This 2027-nucleotide unclassified non-coding RNA is filed under the name Leishmania donovani. Its description in RNAcentral is "gene:LdHU3.36.3170(CDS-product:developmentally_re gulated_GTP-binding_protein_1_putative)". The record is from RNAcentral. Lineage: Eukaryota; Euglenozoa; Kinetoplastea; Trypanosomatida; Trypanosomatidae.
AUGUCUGCGGAGAAGGUGCUCCUGAGCAGCCUCGAGAGCCCACCAUUAUCGCCCACCCCACUAACGCUUCAGCUCUAACUGUUCUUUCUGCCCUCAUCUCUCUAUGCCUUUUAGGGUGUGCGCGCGGCCUCAUCCUUCGCCAACUCUCGAGCAUCACCGCGAGAACGCACCUGUGCACUUGCGCUGAGACUUCGCCUUUUUAAACUCUCCAUUGCGUCCUGCCCUUAACGUAAAAGAAGCCCACCUAACAUAUCCUUCUCUAUCUGCCUUCAUCGACGCCGCGAUUGUCAGACGCGGGGACCUCUCGGCGCGCCAUUCACCGCCACAAAUAAUAACCCCCGGAUUAGCUGAUAUAGAUACACUCUGCGCCACGCACCCCCUUUGUCUUCCCUUUUUCACAGCUCCUCCCCUCCCCUCCCUCCUAUCUUUUUUUUUCUCUUGUGUUUGCUCGCAGCCAAAAAUGUCGUCCUUGCAGAAGAUCAGCGAUAUCGAGGCUGAGCUCGCCCGCACGCAGAAGAACAAGGCUACCAUGGCUCACAUUUGUGCUCUCAAGGCCCGCCUGGCGCAGCUCAAGCGCGAGCUCAUCGCGUCUGAGUCGAAGAAAGGCGGCGGCAAGGGCGAAGGCUUUGACGUGCAGAAGACCGGCGACGCUCGCAUCGGCUUCAUUGGCUUUCCGUCUGUUGGCAAGUCGACGCUGCUGUCGAAGAUGACCUCGACUCACUCCGAGGUGGCCGCGUACGAGUUCACCACGCUCACCUGCGUGCCUGGUGUGGUGAAUUACCGCGGCGCCAAGCUGCAGAUGCUGGACCUGCCCGGUAUCAUCGAAGGUGCCAAGGACGGUAAGGGUCGAGGCCGGCAAGUCAUUGCAGUGGCCCGCACUUGCUCUCUUAUCCUCAUCGUGCUUGACAUUGCCAAGCCGCUGCAGCACAAGCUCAUCAUUGAGCGUGAGUUGGACGGCUUCGGCAUUCGGUUGAACAAGUCGCCACCGGAUAUUGUGAUUCGAAAAAAGGACCGCGGUGGCAUCAGCAUCUCCUCGACGUGCCCGCUCACGCACAUUGACCAGGAGACGAUCAAGAUCAUCUUAGGCGAGUACCGCAUGGCGAACGCCGACGUCACCUUCCGCGGCGACUACACGGCCGACGAGUUCAUCGAUGCGAUCGAAGGGAAUCGCGCGUACAUCCCGGCCAUUUACGUGCUGAACAAGAUCGACCAAAUAUCGAUCGAGGAACUCGACAUCGUCGCCCGCAUUCCGCACAACUGCCCAAUCUCUGCCCAUCACGAGUGGAACCUGGACGGGCUCCUCGAGUGCAUAUGGGAUCACCUGAACUUCAUUCGUGUGUACACGAAGCCGAAGGGUCAGGUGCCAGACUACGACGCGCCGGUCAUUCUAAAGAAGUCGCCACAGCCGUCGGUGGAGAGCUUCUGCAACCGCAUUCACAGGCAGCUGAUACGCAACUACAAGUAUGCGUGGGUGUGGGGCUCGUCCGUGAAACACCAGCCGCAGCGUGUGGGCAAGGACCACCCGCUGGAUGACGAGGAUGUCGUGCAGGUGGUGAAGAAGGUAUAGAAACAACGGGGAAACUACAUUCGCAGCCAGCCUGAGAGGUCGACAGCGACGAAGGUGCACCCGUCAGGAAUGCCGCUGAUCACGUCACACAACACGCACGCGCACGUGGCGCUCAAGGGCGAUAAGGGCGGUGAGCUUGUAUUUCAUCAGCGUUUCACCGCGUCUGCAUCCCCCUUCUUACGAGUCGGACCCCUUACGCACCGUCGGUGCGGCAUGAUUAUCUAACAAGCGAGUUGGCCGCCGGCGAAUGUCUCAGUUUUAAGGGGCCUUCCCUUUUGUGUGCUGUUGUUUCUCUCUGUAGUUUGUUUGCCUUCUGUUUUUUUGUUGUUGUUUGGGAAGGUCUCUCUCUCUGCGUCUGGGCGUAUGUGUGUGUGUGUGUGUGUGUGUGCGUGUUCUUUGGCAUCUAACCUACGUUUCAAUCACCAAGAGGCCGUUUUCAUGCCCGCUCCCCGAGCGGCAG